CUGUACGAGUUUGAUCCUGGCUCAGGAUGAACGCUAGCGGCAGGCUUAAUACAUGCAAGUCAAGGGGGUAGCAAUACAACCGGCGCACGGGUGAGUAACGCGUACACAACAUACCAUAUACUGGGGUAUAGCUUUGGGAAACUGAAGGUAAUCCCCCAUAACACUGCGAGAGGGCAUCUGAUUGCAAUUAAAGUUUCGGCGGUAUAUGAUUGGUGUGCGUUUGAUUAGCUAGUUGGUAGGGUAACGGCCUACCAAGGCGACGAUCAAUAGCUGGCGUGAGAGCGCGACCAGCCACACUGGAACUGAGACACGGUCCAGACUCCUACGGGAGGCAGCAGUAGGGAAUAUUGGACAAUGGAGGAAACUCUGAUCCAGCCAUGCCGCGUGAUAGAUGAAGGCCCUCUGGGUUGUAAAUAUCUUUUAUCUGGGAAGAAACAAUCUUAUUCUUAAGAUCUUGACGGUACCAGAGGAAUAAGCACCGGCUAACUCCGUG
RNAcentral lists this ribosomal RNA (493 nucleotides) under uncultured bacterium. RNAcentral describes it as "bacterial SSU rRNA". It matches the Rfam family "Bacterial small subunit ribosomal RNA", at positions 1 to 507 of the family's 1533-position model. The record is from RNAcentral.